UGUUAAAGAACAACAUCACGCCCCCUUAAGUGCGCAGUUGCUGAAGGAUGUCAUUGCAACCUAGUAGGCGAGCCGAUGCCUAUGUCUGCGUAUAGCCGACUUCAGCAUUUAAUAUUGACGAUGAAACGAAUAUAUUGAUGUUUAAAGCUUCCAGAAACGCGAGAGGCAUCCUUUCAGAUCUAAAGCAGUAAAGCCUCACGCACUUUCAGAAGUUGCGCUGUUAUUUCAGUACCAUCGUCAUCAUCAUUACACAAUAUAAAGCGGAACAGGCGUUUCGGCGUUAUGAAGCAAAACUUCGCAGAAACGAGGAGCCGGCUCGAUGCCUUUCAUAAACAUCACCUGAUUGUCAACGUGACUGGACGGAUUGAGAGGCAGAGAGAGAGAGAGAGAGAGAGAGAGAGAGAGGAAGACUGACAAAGAGGAGAGAGAGAUGGCGUGCAGCUGUAUUGGUGGUCCAAUUGGUGCUUUCUGGGUCACAGGCGAUUGGAGCAUUGGAGGGAUUCUUGUAUGUCUUUGAAUGCAAUAUGACCAGUGAAAGAGGCCGUCAGGGUGAACGAGCACUGCCUAGGGCACAUUAUCCAACUUAAGGUAAGAUGUAAUCCUAAAAUGCUCCUAGAAACUGCAAAGUGUGUUUGUGAAUGUACUAAUGACUGUGCAAGUGUAGGGGGAUUGCCUUAUUCUCAAAGGAUUCUUGCAACGCUACCUAUGAUUUUUGGUCUCAAGUCAGGUUGUGACUAGGGCUGCACGAUAAAUCACAUGUGAUAUUUAAUGCGCAUCUUGUUAGUAAACCUGGUUCUGUAAUCAGCGGUAAAUCUCCGUCACCUUCACGCUUUCACAUGGAGCAGCAUUAACUACACAGAGCCAUUGCUGACUGACAAGCAUGCUCAAAACCACGUUCAGGUUUUUGCAUGUUUUGCGUUAAAUAAUAUCGAAUGCGAUUUAUCGCGCAGCACUAGUUGUGACCAUGCCUAUGAUGCCUUGUUUUGCUAGGCAGCUCAGUAGGUUCUAGAACUAUUGUGUGUUAGACAGUUAAGGCACAAAUUGUGUAUGUGUAUGUGUGAGAGAGACAGACAGAAACUGAGAGCUGAAAGUAUGUCAAAAGGAAGGUAACUCAAUCUGGGCAGCUGUGAGUCAUUCCGGUGCAGUGCCACGUCUCAGUGUAUAGACAUAGAGAGAAUACCUGCUCCGGCUGUAUGGUUUUGUGUUGGACGGAAACGGUAAUGUUUAACAGUGAGCCAGGCCUAACAUGAAGGUGAAUAAAGGUGUAAAAUAGAGUGAGAAAAUAAAAUGUCAAUGCAAGAUGAAGAUGUAACCUUGACAUACGUGCCAAUGUGUCACGCCUCCUCUCCCAUGUGCUCCUGGGCAAACAGCGGUGAAUGUGUGUGCGCUUCGAUAUGCAGACAAAUCAUGCCCCUGGGAAGAUUGGAGAAAACAUGUUUUGCGAUGUGGAGGAACGUACUGUACAGUAAUUGGCUUCUCCUAUUUGAGCUGUGAGAAAAUGACAAGACAUGAUUAUAUCACUGCUUUAGUGGCCAAUGGUGGGGCAGAGCAAACACACGAGAGUGUGUGUGGUUUUUAUGUGUUUCUGGUAUGGUAUGCCUCGGGGCUUUGGCUUUGUAUGUCAGGUAAUCCUCCUGAAAAAGAUGGAUUACAGUGCAUAUAAAGGAAAAAUGCAUCAACAAUGCAUUUGAACUUUCCUGUUGUAUGUAUGCUUGGAAUAAUUGUUUUUUUAUAUAUAUAUUUGGUUUUAUUUUAUAUAUUUUGUUGUUUUAUAAUUUUGUCGUUGUGGUUUAAAUUGUGUUGUGUAUGUUUUAUUUGUUUUAUUUAUUUUUGGUUUGUUUUGUUUGUAUAUGUUUUAUUUCUAUCAUUUAUUUUAAUAGGUUGUGUUUUUUUUUUUUUUUUUGACCAGGCACACAAAGUAAUUUUUCCACAACUAAGUGAAAAUACUUUGCAAUGUGACACUUUCACAGCCAAUGAGAAUAUUUAAUAUUUAACAAACUGUUAUGUAGAGAAAGAUUUUGGACCAAUGAGAUUUUAGUGUGGGUGGAGCUACACGGCACAAAACUACAUUUUUUACCUCUUGUUUGGAUUGUUGUGGCUAGUUACAACACAAUGCUAAUGUGUUUUUGACCUUCAUGUUAUGUUCCAAUCAUUUUGCAAAACAAAACCUGUGCUAAUUGAAAGAAAACAAGUAUGAUGAAAAAUCACAUAAUGAGAGAUUUACAAGCAUUUCUUUUAAAAGCCAGUCAUUUUUAACUGGAAACAGCAACUUAAAGAAUUUUCAGCACAGCUCAAUUGUUCUGUGGAGGUCAGUGGGUAGCUGGGUCAAAAAUGGGCUUGGUUUGUUUGAUAAUGGCUCUAUAAAACCAUGACAUCAUCUCAGGCUCUUUCAGAGCUAGAAAUACAAUCACAAUUCAAUCUUGUAAAAAUAAGACCAAAUUUUGGCAGCAGAUUUUAUGGGUUUAUUCAUAUUUUAUGUCUCAUUGGAUAAGAUUAACAAUGAAGGACUUUGCCCUCUCAAAACGUAACAUCAAGGAAGCAUGUGCAUUAUGUGCCAGUGGACAAUGAAGUACACUGCAGUCCGUGGCUGGCGUGAUGCCCAGUCUUUCUUAAGAAAGCUAGAUUUAAUGCUUCCUCCUCUUCCCACUCUCUCGCUAGCCUCAGACUGUUACGAUUGUAUUGAAUGUAUCCAGUGAUUUUUCAUCUUUUAUCUAGUGCAUAACCUAUCAAUAUCCUGAAUUCAGACGCAUAUCAUUCACAAUCAUUAAACAACCUCUUAUUAUUAAAUUAUCACUGGGAGAGAUUGAAAAACUAAUGUGUUUGUGGUGUUAUCGAUUGAUGUCACAUCUGUGAAGUCAUUGAAGACGUCAUUGUGGGAUUGGCACUGAAAGAAAUCACUCAGAGAAAGGAGAAAGAGAUUGAGGACCAUUUGAAAACACAGAGGAGUCAUCAGUCUAUUGGUUAAAAGACAGAUUACAAUUAUCCAGAAGGAAGUAACAGCGGCAGUCAUUCUGUUUUAUAUUAAAUGUCUCAGAUAGUGUGGAUCCUUGGCAGAUUCAGUUUCAUCAUUGCAUGGGAUGUUAUCAGGCGGCCAUAAUGAAACACGAGGUAGGUGCUAACCUAAUUCAGAAAAUUACCCAGCAGCAUAAUCAUGUCAUCGCUGUUUAUUGGUUUCAAGCAUUCAGCGAUGAGUUUACAACUGAAGUGGUGUGUUAUGGAGAUUCAGUUCUUAGUUUUGAUUGGACACACCCCAUAGGAAGUUGAUUUGGAACUUGAAUUUACUGAACUACAGUUUUAACAAAGAAUGUAUUCUGGGAAAUUAAAUGUCUUUCCUCCAUGGUUCACACAAGUUAGUUUAUUAAAUAUGAAGAAAAACACAUACAAUUAAAUACAAGUUUCUAUAUUUGAAAUGUAAUUAGUCUCUCUAUCCAUCCAUCUAUAGUAUCCAUCUAGCCAUCUGUCUAUUCAUCCAUCUUCAAUGUGCAUGAAUGGUUAUGUAACAUACAUUUUCAGUCGUGUAUUGUGGAAACAACAGUAUGGAGGAUGAUUGAUCUCGUUUUAUAAUGCUGUUUUAAAAUGAAAACGCACUACUGUAAACGUAGCCUUUCUAUGGGGGUUUGGAUGCUUACUACAGACUCACGUGUGAGACAUUUCUGGGCGUGACCGGUGCAAACCACUGUUUUUCCUUGAUGCCUCACCACAGCCAAUCACCAGCACUUGAUUUAGGUAAAUACAGUAAAGCAUGCUGCAUGCUUAUUGGUUGACAGAUGUUGACAAGAUUAACCCCUUUGGUAUCAAAACUUGGUACCGAACACCAAGAGAUUUUCCAAACUCGAUGGUAUCAAGGCAAUUCAGUCAGUGCCUAUAAAGUAUCAAACUUGAUAGCCAGCCCUAUCUCCCACCCAUCCAUAUAUCUGUCUAUACAUUUUGCUACAGUAUUAAUCUAUCCAUCCAUUCAUUCAUCCACCCGUUUAUCAGUCAUCUAUAUAUACACAUCUAAUUAUAAAUCCAUUUAUAUACGAGUCCAUCCAUAUAUCCGUCCAUCAUCAAAAUAUUCAUCUAUCAAUCCAUCUUCAAGGUUUUUUACAUUUAUUUCAAAAGUAUCAUUAAAUGUUUGUCUUGGCAAACUAUAUUUUUCUAGUAAAGCUUUGAAUUGCAAUUCUGCAUCCUAUUUUUUUUCCUUACUUGAAAUCUGUCUAUCCAUAUUUUUUUUCUUAAUUGAAAUCAGGAAUAAUAAAAUGAACUAAGAUUUGACCCCACUUUAAAGGUCAGGGAUAGUCUGAAUGCAAAGCUAACUCGAUGCUUCACUCAUUCGUUCAUUUUUGGCUCACUUUGGUUCUGAGUUUUACAUUCGAAGUGGACUCAAGUGUGGAAACUUGAAUUAUUAGCCGUUAAAUAUAUAAGCAGACAUUGAUUUGUUUGGGUUUUUACCCACACACAAUAAUUAGGCUGACUUAAUGCUCAUCUCACCUCACACAGUGCUACUCCUAGUAGAUAGGUUCCUGUUGUGUGCGCUGAACUGUAACGUCACUGGGGCCCCACACUAGGUUUCUGGGAACUAGUCACGUUUACUGUAAAAGUUGUAUUUUUCUUUUUUUUUUCUUCAGCACUUAAAUUUUGGGAAGCAGACUUGGCCCUGGGCCCUCUGUUAAGAGGUCUCUGCUUUAUGACUCGCUCCUGUGGUUAGCUGGAAGUCUGACCCCAUGCCACCGACAAGUCAUGAAAGCAAAGACUGUGCGAACAACAUGCAGGAAAGGAUUUUUUUCCUUUGCUAUUAAUCGCCACUGAGAUGGACCCUGUGACAGAUGAUCUGAUUUAAGGCCUGUUUGCGGCAUGAGUCAGAGGAAGUAUACUUAAGCGCAAGUGCAGUGAAAUGAAGAACAAAUGUGCGCUGUAAACUCAGAGGGAGGGGGGUAACAGACAUCCCUUAGGAUUGCGGGGGGAGCACUGAGUUACGUGAGCCAUAGCCGACGGCUAGACGUGAGUCAGUUAAGACUCAUGGUACUUAUUAAAUUAUGGAUACAGUAUCAAGGCAUACUGUAAUAGACUUCCAAGAAGAUAUUCCCUCACUUGACAGAAAUGUGUCAUUUCUCGGAAAACGCUGUUGUUUAAAUAUAAACCUGGUGAUCAUCACACAUCGUGUUAAGUUUGUGGUUAUUCGCCAAACCUCAUUCCUAGGGUGUGGUGAUCAAAACUCAGGAUUGGUAUUUGGAAGGUUGCUGGUUCAGUCCCACAAGCGAGUCCGACAACACAGCUGUGCCCCAUAGCAAGGUAUGUAGAUUUAAUGUUCAUUUAGAAAAAAAAAUCUAAUGCAAAUUGUCAUUAUUUACUCACCCUCUUGUCAUUAAAAACUUUCAUACAUUAAAAACCAAAUAAGAUGUUCAGCAAAAUGUUCAUGCUGCUCCCAUGAUGUAGCGAUGUCUUAGAAGGCCACAAAACUUCUGCCAGAGAAUACAAAAGUUAGUAUUUAUAAUAAUUUAUUAUCACCAUGUUCCUUUUGGGGCUCUAUGUUUUAUUACUUAGUAAGUCCUUUAACAUUUUCUCUUCUAUCAUAGCUCUCAAAACUGUAAAUUAGCAUAUAGAGCAUUUAACAUACUAAAUUAGCAUUUAGGAGUAUAUAUUAAUACUUUUGAAUUGGCCAAUGCAGCAUGUCAUUGACUUUAAACAUCAUAUUUUAAAAUGUACUAGAAUUGCGGGGAUGAAUGUGUUAAUUUAUGUGAUUAAUGUGAAUUGUUUAAUGACUUUAAUCAAUAUAGCAUCCUUUUAUAUUACAGAUGCUAAUGUUUUUCCCAGUUUUUUUUUUUUUUAUAGUAUAGGGUUCUAUUCUCAGACUGACAUGCAGAGCAAGAGAGUAAUCAUAAUUCAUGAUUCACAGCUUUAAUAUAUACACAAAUAUAAAUAUACCAAUUUGUUUUCACAGUUUAGAAGGGAGCAGUGUGAACAUUGUUCUUAGCAUCUCAUUUUGUGUUGAAGAAAGUAAUCCAUACAGGUUCGGAACAAUGAAGUGAGUAAAUGACCGUUUUCAUUAUUGGGUCUACUAGUCUUUUAAUACCAGGUUUCUUCACAGAGAAGUCAUUUAGGAUAAAACUGUCUGGUAAACGCUGCAUCAGAGUGAGUGUGCUGUGUGCGAGAGCAGGUAUUGGUGGUUUAGAGGUUAUCAGAGAGCGGACACGCAUAAUAAGCUGCACACUGCGAUGAGGAAAUGUAAAAUUACUGAUUUGCGUAGAGGAGUUUCUGUUGGCCAGAUGAGCGCAGGCUGAGUUUCCAAGGAGCGCUUCUCAGAACAGCUUAUUUAGCUCAGGACAUCCUGGGAAUUUGUAUUCACAGGUCACUAUCAUUUUAUUCCUCCUUUGUCAAAACCCACUUGGUAGAAUCACUUAUUUGUUAGGUGUUGCUAUACAUAGGUUCAACUGAAGUGAUAUACCAAAAAUAAACAAGCACAGAAUUGCGAGCUAUAAUGAAAAGGCUCUUUGUAUGUAACAUGACUCAGGUUAGCAUCACUUCCCUUCACAUCAUACCACAAAUCGCUAAAGCCUUCAGAUCCAGUCUGUGUGUUUGUGUGUUAUUGCCAAAAAGGAACUGAACCAAAUAUGGUUCCUGGAAUCUUGUUCCCAUUAUCACUUAUCCUCCUUCUCCCUACCUUAUUUUUCUGUCUUUCCACUUUGUUUGCCUAGGUUAUUAACUCGCACUCUAAAUUUGGCCCACUCUUCUGAUACGGUUGUUAAGGUUGUUUAUCUGUAUUUGCCCACAAAGGAACAUUCUCCUGUGGCUAUGUCACACUGCGCGUGUACGAGUGGGCCAAAGUUCAGCCUCUUCCUGUAAAUAGAUCAAAAGGAACAGCCAGAUGUCUCAAAUUCCCCACAAAAUGACACAGAAUUCCAGAGAACUUGCGCACAAGAGCAUGCUUUGGGCCGAUGCACUGCCGAAAUGGCUGUUGGUCGUGCCAGGAGACUUAGAGGGGAAAAAAAUAUUUUGGUUAUUAAGAAAGUGAUGUGUUGUAUUAUGUGUGGGAAUGUGCUUGCUUAUGUAUUUACAUGCUAAUACUGCUUUCAUAAAAAUAUAUACAGGGGAGUCCAAAAUUCUGAGAGCGCAUCUGCGAUUUUAACCAGGAACACUUGGUUUUAUAAAAAGUUUAUGACUUUGAAAUAUUUGUGUACGUUUUUAUUUAUUUUGUUUAGUGACUUAAUAAAAUAAAUUAAACGUUUUUCCUUGCAUUGAAUCAAAAAUCUAGCUUUUUUCGAACUGUUAUUCUGCUAAUAUAUUUUUAAACAAAUUUGGGCAUUACAAAAAUGCAAAAUAGAUUUUCCCUAGACUUUAUGACCCAGGUGUAUAUUUAAUUUAAUUUUGUUUAAUUUGUUGCAUCAUGUGGAUUUAAUGAAACUCACAGGGUAGCACCACUUUUCAGCCUUGAUUUAUUAAGAGGUGGCAGUCUCCUUCAGAAUGGCUUCUCAUUAAGUGUGUGAGAGAGAGAGAAUGAGUGUGUGACCUGCUGCCAUUAUAGCCAUCACUCUCCGUGCCCCAUGCAUGAACUCAGGAGGACAUGCUAAGCCAUAUUAACACCAUGCUGAACUCUAUUGACUGAUCUGCAUGAACUUCUCGCUCUUGCACACACAGCAGUGUUAAAACCAUCUAUCCUCACAGCACUGUCUCAUGCCGUUCUUUUCAUCUCAGAGUCUUUACAGAGAGUAUUUGGCUGCACUCAUGUAUCUCUCUGCAAGACUUCAGACAGGCAACUGCAGUGUGCCUUCAGGCCACAGAGGAUAUUUAGAGUACAUUUACCUGACAACAAUGUGCUAAAGAAGAAAAAUGUUGAGUUUUCACAGACAGGCAACAACGUUGUCAAAAUUCCUUUUUUACACAGAUCUACGAAAACACAUUAAAACGCUAUUUUAUGCAUGCCAGCCCACUAGUUGGUGAUGUCACUUUGUGAAGAAACACUACGCACACACACGACAUCACCGUUUUCAAAAAUGUGCACUUUUGUAGUUCACGCUUGUGUUGAUAACAUUAUACACUUCAAAAACGUACGUUUUCAGGGCGCCAAAACUUUGUAUUGUAAAUGAAUGGCCAAAAGCAAUAAAAACUUUCCAGUUUUUAGUUGAAAAUGUUGUUGUGUAAAUGCCCUUUUAAUAUCAAUAAAAAAAAUCAGGAUGUACUGUAUGUAACUAAUAUUUGGAAAAAUAUGGAACAAUGGCAAUGGGCGUAUCGGUUCGGAUGUGCCAUACACAGUAGACCAAUCACAACAGACUGGGCCAUCUGACCAAUCAGAGCAGAGUAGGCUCAUGGAAAGGUGUUGUUUAGAGAGACUGAAUCUUUGAACUGCUUCAAAUGAAUUGUUUGAGAAUCUGAGCAAAAGGUGAUAUUAAAGGCAUAUUUUGAGAAAAUAAAAGCUUUUUUUGACCUUGCAUGCAUGUAAACAUUGUAGCAGACUCCCAAAACAUUAUUAGGAAACUUAAAAAUGGGAUAAUGGGGCACUUUCAUUUAACUGUGCCUGCGUACAUAUGUGUCAUAGUUUGACAGGAAAAAAAUAAAACACACAUGCCUCCUAUGAUUCACAUAUGACUCCCUAUGAUUCAAAUCUGACUCAUCAGGUAAAACAUCCAUACAUCCCUCCAUCAUAUCUCUCACUUAUUUAUGCUGGAAAAGAGUGUGUGUCGGACUAAUCGAGGUGGAAAUGUGAUGAGUCACUAUCUCUUAGGUCAGAGCGCACUGUUGGGUUUUAAACGUUUGAUGGAGAAAUAAAUACGCCACAGCUGUAUGUGUAUGCAUAUGUUGUUUACAUUUAUAAAUGAAAAAUGGGCUCUGUACAGUGGUGGGCAGAUUCUCGUGAUGCUCUACGACCUGCUUUGACGCAUGUUCUGUAGUGGUUGCUGAUUUUAGUUUUUUUUCUUUUUUCAUCAGCCUGUAUUUCUGAAACCGCAGUCACUUUAAUGGAUAAUACACUGUUAAAUAUGUCAGAUAAGCUAAAAAAAAAAUGUUCAUCAACUGGUUUUUAUUAGUCAUUAUGUAAUCAUUUGGAGCAACAAAAUGAAUUUUUCAGUGAAAAGGGAAGAAAAAUUAUGGGCAGGACUUGAUUUUAUCCACCAGGAAUUGAUUUGAUUGGGAAAAGAUAAAUGUUAGAUACAAUAAUGGAGCAUGUGUGUUAUUACUAAAGUUAUUAAAGUUAUUUUGAUUUGAGACCUUUAAGAAAUAUUUUUAAUAAUAUGCAUUGAUAAACUGUGCCCCAAAACAUCAAUAAUUUGUAUUACACAUAUAUAUGCCAUUUUAUUUAUUUCAACCCUAUCAAAUACAUUUCCGUCCAAGGCCUUUUAGAAUAAUAGCAUUAGUUAAUUAAGUAAUAGCUUUAUAUGUUUUGUUCCCCAAAAUUAAAAUAACAGAGCUGAUCAUAAAACUAAGCAUUUCAAUAUCAUCUUACCAAGACAUAAUUGGGAGAUAUAGAGGGAUAACUGAAAUUUAUAUGCAUUUAUGCAAGUAGUCCGCCAUAUGGUUAUAAAAAUGUAUUUGCAUUUCAAGCUAUCAGAAUUUCUUUUUGGUCAUAAUUAACUGCUUCAAAAAAACAUUUCUGCUCAGUUUGGGCCUCUGAAUAAAAUUAAGGUGUUUUAUUUUUUCUCUCAAGUUGCAUAUUUUCACUAUACCUGUUUUAUACCAUAAAUAGACAAACAAGUUUUUAAUAUUAUCUAAGUUUAGAUAACUGUUCUAUUUAAAAAAAAACUAAAAAAAAAAAAAACAUUUAAAUAAAAAUGAGAAGAGAUACGUCAGUGUUUAAAGGUCAGAUUCAGGUCAAAAUAUCUCCUUACGCUGCACAUUUUCACUUCUCAAAGACUAAUCACUAUAAAGGAGUUUCACACCACCUCUCUAACAAAUUCAGCAGUGAGAAACACUCACAUGGCUGGGCAGAUUAAUCACUUCUGGGCCACGUCAUUACAGAUCUCACUCCAGCCAAGCCACCAAAGAGGAGUGUUUCUCUUUUCAGACAAGAAAACAUUCAGCUGUCCUUUUUGGUGGCAGGGCUUGGUAAGUAAAAAAUAAAUCGAUAACAGAGAGAAACAUGUUGAGCGAGCAACUGAGAUGAAGAGCAUGCUAUAAGCAGAAAUAGGAGCUCUUGUCGUUCUCUUUUUAAAAUCAGGCCUAGGAGGCAAUGGAACGGGAGGGGGUGAUGUCAUCACUGGUAGCAACGGGCAAUCAUGCAGUCCAUUCAUUUUUGUGGGUUUCUGUGUAUGUGUGUGCACGUGCGAGUUUCUGUCUUCUGCAUGCCACUUCCUGGGAUUGAAUAGAGCAGGAAGUGGAGAGACCGGGUGCAAAGAACAACGCCUCCAUGGUGGGCUUUUCACACACACACACACACACACACACACACACUAGAGAGCAGGACUCACAUGUGUGUUUGUGUAUUCAGUGAAUUGGCAGGCAUCCCUUUAGCUCUGCCCUGGUUUUGCUGGGUGCUUGUGUCUGAAUGAGAUGUACUGAAACACUGCCCUCUUCUGUUUGCUUUCAGAGCUGCAGAGAAAUGUUCGACUCCUGGUUUUCUAAUUGGACAUGGUAAGUAUAUAAUA
Carassius gibelio (silver crucian carp) is the source of this 10553-nucleotide long non-coding RNA. RefSeq lists it as uncharacterized. Lineage: Eukaryota; Metazoa; Chordata; Actinopteri; Cypriniformes; Cyprinidae. The record is from RefSeq and is a predicted model, not a curated record. The transcript has 3 exons.